CAAUAGCGUAUAUUAAAGUUGUUGCAGUUAAAAAGCUCGUAGUUGGAUUUCUGGUGGGAGCGAUCGGUCUGGCGCUUAGCGCGAGUACUUGCAUCGUCUCCGGCCAUCCUUGGGGAGAGUCUGUCUGGCAUUAGGUUGUCGGGCAGAGGAUCCUCAUCGUUUACUGUGAAAAAAUUAGAGUGUUCAAAGCAGGCUUAUGCCGUUGAAUAUGUUAGCAUGGAAUAAUAAGAUAGGACUUUGGUACUAUUUUGUUGGUUUGCGCACCAAAGUAAUGAUUAAUAGGGACAGUUGGGGGUAUUCGUAUUCCGUUGUCAGAGGUGAAAUUCUUGGAUUUACGAAAGACGAACUACUGCGAAAGCAUUUGCCAAGAAUGUUCUCAUUAA
RNAcentral lists this ribosomal RNA (383 nucleotides) under uncultured eukaryote. RNAcentral describes it as "partial 18S ribosomal RNA". It matches the Rfam family "Eukaryotic small subunit ribosomal RNA", at positions 592 to 976 of the family's 1831-position model. The record is from RNAcentral.